AGGGUCUGUGUAGGUGGAACAAGGGCAAAGGAAGAGCGGCGGUGAAAGGGACAGAUGCUGUCACGGUGCAGUGUUAUGACGCCAGCCUGCAAGACGCCCUCGCACAGCUGACACAAGAGCUCAUGGGUCACACGCUGGUUGACAAUUACACCCCGGCGAGCAAGUACACAGACUGGCGCCGUGCUGCAGUCCCACGCCGUGGAUUAUCCAGACCAGCCUGACUCAGCUGACCUGAAAGAAGACCAGGAGGACGAAGACCAACUCGAAGAUGAGGGAAUCGAGCAGUAUUCAGGUGAUCGCGAUUCCUUCAUGACUCGGCCUCCCGAUGAUGAGCCGGCAGAAGAGAAGAAAGAAGAAGAUGUGUUGGGUCCAGACAGGCACGGCGGACGCCAGCAUGUCUGUUGCUUGGUCACCGCCCUUGUUGCGCUGCGGCGCAAAAUGUUUGUGCAGGAGAGGCAGAUUAUCGAACUUUGGCAAAAGCUGAC
Entelurus aequoreus (snake pipefish) is the source of this 485-nucleotide long non-coding RNA. RefSeq lists it as uncharacterized. The record is from RefSeq and is a predicted model, not a curated record. Lineage: Eukaryota; Metazoa; Chordata; Actinopteri; Syngnathiformes; Syngnathidae. The transcript is spliced from 3 exons.